This 894-nucleotide ribosomal RNA is filed under the name Triticum aestivum (bread wheat). RNAcentral describes it as "partial small subunit ribosomal RNA". Lineage: Eukaryota; Viridiplantae; Streptophyta; Magnoliopsida; Poales; Poaceae. The record is from RNAcentral.
AUGGAAGCCGGAGGAGGCUUGGAGGCGGAGGCGGAGGAGGAGCAGGUGAUGAGCGAGGUGCACCUGGGCUGCCCGCCCCGCUUCCCGGGCCUCUACCUCUCCCGCUUCCCUCCCGCCCGGAGGAGAAGCGAAGAUCAUGUGCUCGCCGUGCAGCACGGCGUCACCUCUUCGCUUCGGAGCGUCGGGCUUCAGGUUUGGAAGGCCGCCAUGCUGUUAACUGACUUUGUGUUGCACAAGAGCUUCACGUCGUCUGAAUUCGACGGUGUUAUUACCAUGGAGAUCGGUGCUGGCACAGGGUUGGUAGGGUUGGCACAAGCUCGAGUUGCUAGAAGGAUUUUCAUUACAGAUAGAGGCAAUCAUAUCCUCGAUAAUUGCUUGGCUAAUGUCCGUCUCAACUCUAGCAUGCUAAAGUUUGAUGAAGCUAAAGUCCAUGUACGGGAACUGGACUGGAAAAUGUCAUGGCCUCCGCCAGUGGGUACACAUGAUGCAUCUGAUCCAAGUUCGAUAUACUCAUGGUCUUCAAGUGAAAUCGAGGAGGCUGAGCAAGCCACCCUGCUAUUCGCUGCAGAUGUUAUUUACAGUGACAAUCUGACCGAUAUGUUCUUCGACGCAGUGAGGCAGCUUAUGUCACGUGGUGCCAAGAAGGUGUUGUACUUGACCCUGGAGAAGAGGUACAACUUCAGCCUGGACGAACUAGACGUCGUGCCCAAUGGUUACAAGCAUUUUCGAAGCUUCUUCGCGGUUCAAGAUGGAUGUGGAGGCAAGGACAAUGCUACAUCGAAACCAGGCCUUGUGGGGGAGCAGGUAGACCUUGCGAGGGUUCCUCAGUACAUCAGAGAAUACAACAGAGGCAAGGAUCUGGAGAUGUGGAAGCUCAUGUAUUGGCCAGACUAA